RNAcentral lists this unclassified non-coding RNA (343 nucleotides) under soil metagenome. RNAcentral's name for it is "partial contains 5.8S ribosomal RNA, internal transcribed spacer 2, and large subunit ribosomal RNA". The stretch from base 1 to 120 matches the Rfam family "5.8S ribosomal RNA", at positions 35 to 154 of the family's 154-position model. The record is from RNAcentral.
GAUGAAGAACGUAGCGAAAUGCGAUAAGUAAUGCGAAUUGCAGAUUUCAGUGAGUCAUCGAAUCUUUGAACGCACAUUGCGCCCGCUAGUAUUCUGGCGGGCAUGCCUGUCCGAGCGUCAUUUCAACCCUCAAGCCCCCGGGCUUGGUGUUGGGGAUCGGCGAGCCUCCGCGCCCGCCGUCCCCUAAAUCUAGUGGCGGUCUCGCUGUAGCUUCCUCUGCGUAGUAGCACACCUCGCACUGGGAAACAGCGCGGCCACGCCGUUAAACCCCCAACUUCUGAACGUUUGACCUCGGAUCAGGUAGGAAUACCCGCUGAACUUAAGCAUAUCAAUAAGCGGAGGA